AACGAACGCUGGCGGCAGGCUUAACACAUGCAAGUCGAACGGGCGUAGCAAUACGUCAGUGGCGGACGGGUGAGUAACACGUGGGAAUAUGCCUUUCGGUUCGGAACAACUCGGGGAAACCCGUGCUAAUUCCGGAUACGCCCUUACGGGAAAGAUUAUCGCCGAAAGAUUAGCCCGCGUUGGAUUAGCUAGUUGGUGAGGUAAAGGCUCACCAAGGCGACGAUCCAUAGCUGGUUUGAGAGAACGACCAGCCACACUGGGACUGAGACACGGCCCAGACUCCUACGGGAGGCAGCAGUGGGGAAUCUUGGACAAUGGAGGAAACUCUGAUCCAGCCAUGCCGCGUGAGUGAUGAAGGCCUCGGUUGUAAAC
This 372-nucleotide ribosomal RNA is filed under the name uncultured bacterium. RNAcentral describes it as "bacterial SSU rRNA". It matches the Rfam family "Bacterial small subunit ribosomal RNA", at positions 29 to 430 of the family's 1533-position model. The record is from RNAcentral.